Molecule: small nucleolar RNA, 67 nt
Filed under: Euglena gracilis
Lineage: Eukaryota; Euglenozoa; Euglenophyceae; Euglenales; Euglenaceae
Description: Eg-p31.1 AGAUGN box pseudouridylation-guide
Source: RNAcentral
GCCCACCAGGAAACGACCCCUGCCCACACCCUUCACUCUGUGCAGGGGACUCGAAGGUGGAAGAAAC